Molecule: non-coding RNA, 134 nt
Organism: Hordeum vulgare subsp. vulgare (domesticated barley)
Lineage: Eukaryota; Viridiplantae; Streptophyta; Magnoliopsida; Poales; Poaceae
Source: Rfam
UAAGUACUCCUUCCGUCCUAAAAUUUUGUCUUAGGUUUGUUUAAAUAUGAAUGUAUCUAGUCAUAUUUUAAUGUUAGAUACAUUCAUAUCUAAAUAAAUUUUAGACAAGAAUUUUGGGACAGAGGUAGUAAAUA